GCGCCUGUAGCUCAGUGGAUUAGAGCGCAGCCCUGCGGAGGCUGAAGUCGUGGGUUCGAGUCCCACCAGGCGCGCCA
Molecule: transfer RNA, 77 nt
Filed under: Chloroflexota bacterium
Lineage: Bacteria; Bacillati; Chloroflexota
Also listed under: 1 other name
Description: Chloroflexi bacterium tRNA-Arg
Rfam family: tRNA
About the family: Transfer RNA (tRNA) molecules are approximately 80 nucleotides in length. Their secondary structure includes four short double-helical elements and three loops (D, anti-codon, and T loops).
Source: RNAcentral